This is a long non-coding RNA of Poeciliopsis prolifica (blackstripe livebearer), 359 nucleotides long. RefSeq lists it as uncharacterized. The transcript is spliced from 3 exons. The record is from RefSeq and is a predicted model, not a curated record. NCBI's taxonomy places the organism in Eukaryota, Metazoa, Chordata, Actinopteri, Cyprinodontiformes, Poeciliidae.
UACCAGACUGCACACUACUCCCAACUCCAGCUGCCAACUGUUCCUCCUGCACAAGUGAUUUACAAAGAUGGCACAGACCAAGAACACAGGGGAUACAUCCUGAACCUGCCAGCAACAUGGUGGUGCGGAAGCCCAAAACUAUGGGGAAAAGAUAUCUGCACUCCACACUUUACAGAGCUUACACAGGACCACUUCCAGAUCCUGACAUUCUGGCAUCAGGAGAAAAACUACGCCAGCUGGAGUCCCAACCACUUAUCGCUAUUGUCCUAGAUGGUCUUUCACAUUUGGAGCUGGUUCCAUCCAAAUUUGGGCCUGUGCCACAGGGCUCACCAAUGUCUUAUCAGUGCCCACCUGAAAAG